This 407-nucleotide ribosomal RNA is filed under the name uncultured bacterium. Its description in RNAcentral is "partial 16S ribosomal RNA". It matches the Rfam family "Bacterial small subunit ribosomal RNA", at positions 29 to 526 of the family's 1533-position model. The record is from RNAcentral.
AUUGAACGCUGGCGGCAGGCCUAACACAUGCAAGUCGAGCGGAGCGGCGGACGGGUGAGUAAUGCCUAGGAAUCUGCCUGGUAGUGGGGGAUAACGUCCGGAAACGGGCGCUAAUACCGCAUACUAUCAGAUGAGACUAGGUCGGAUUAGCUAGUUGGUGGGGUAAAGGCCUACCAAGGCGACGAUCCGUAACUGGGCUGCGAGGAUGAUCAGCCACAAUGGAACUGAGACACGGUCCAGACUCAUACGGGAGGCAGCAGUGGGGAAUAUUGGACAAUGGGCGAAAGCCUGAUCCAGCCAUGCCGAGUGUGUGAAGAAGGUCUUCGGAUUGUAAAGCACUUUAAGUUGGGAGGCGGAAAGAAAAGAAUAAGCAACGGCUAACGUCGUGCCAGCAGCCGCGGUAAUAG